Molecule: ribosomal RNA, 460 nt
Filed under: uncultured bacterium
Lineage: Bacteria
Description: partial 16S ribosomal RNA
Rfam family: Bacterial small subunit ribosomal RNA
Source: RNAcentral
CCUACGGGAGGCAGCAGUGAGGAAUAUUGGUCAAUGGGCGCGAGCCUGAACCAGCCAAGUCGCGUGAGGGAAGACGGCCCUACGGGUUGUAAACCUCUUUUGCCGGGGAGCAACGGGCGCCACGUGUGGCGCCACUGAGAGUACCCGGAGAUAAAGCAUCGGCCAACUCCGUGCCACCAGCCGCGGUAAUACGGAGGAUGCGACCGUUAUCCGGAUUUAUGGGGUUUAAAGGGUGCGUAGGAGGAGCGUUAAGUCAGUGGUCAAAUUGAGGGGCCAAACCCCUUCCAGCCAUUGAAACUGGCGGUCGUGAGUGGAAGAGAAGUAGGCGGAAUGCGUGGUGUAGCGGUGAAAUGCAUAGAUAUCACGCAGAACCCCGAUUGCGAAGGCAGCAUGCUGGCUUCCGACUGACGCUGAAGCACGAAAGCGUGGGGAUCGAACAGGAUUAGAUACCCCUGUAGUC